Long non-coding RNA from Dermacentor silvarum, 6332 nucleotides. RefSeq lists it as uncharacterized. The transcript is spliced from 2 exons. The record is from RefSeq and is a predicted model, not a curated record. NCBI's taxonomy places the organism in Eukaryota, Metazoa, Arthropoda, Arachnida, Ixodida, Ixodidae.
UGAUUUAGGAGGGGCACGUAGGAAUGAAUUGAGUGUUCGUGCAGGCUAGUGCAUUGUGCCUGUGGCAAGGCCUUCUGUCUAGCAACAGGAAAGGUGGCGUAUGAAAAAUAUGAACCUUCCUGAUGAACCAGUGCUGAAAUGAUGAGAUGGAAGAACAAGAGCACAAUUCAAACACUAUCUAGUUGGCAAUUAGAACCAUGCAUUAAUGAUUAACCAGUGAAAAACAGUCGGUAUGAACUGCACAAGGGGCUGGGCUAGUCAGUUUGCGUUCAACAUGGCUGAUAAAGUGUACGACGGGACAAGUGAACUACAGUGAGUGACAGUGCAUCUGUGCCGUUGUCUGCAUUGUUUGCCAUAUUGAGAUGGUAGGAAGGAACCAAGGCCAGAUAAAAAAAAAAAAGAAAGGUCCUGCAUUUUCCUGCCCCAUCCCAGCUCUCCAUUUAUGCAUGCCGUAUUCUAUUGUAUAAUACUUACAUACAUCUAUUACUUGUUCAAACAGAUAGGUUUGGUGUUAAGACGAGAAGAAAACUUUCCGUAUUAGAAAGUAAAAUGACUGUGGCUGAUAUUUCAGCCGAGAUUCACAGCAGCGUAACUGGGCAGGUCACUUAAAGUGUAGAACAAAUAAGUACCGUACUUUCCGGUGUAUAAGACGAGUCUUUUUUUUUUUCUGAAUUUUUCGUCGGUGCGUCUUAUAGAACAGUGCGACUUAUGUACGUUUUUUUUUUCCCGGGAAAACUGCCAUCGAAAUUGGAUUCGAUGUUAUGACCACGUGAAGGGUGCAGGUUGACGUACGUAAUUUCUACGUGUUCUGUGCGCGCUAUCGAGGUGCCGAAUUCUUCUCAUGAUCGAGUUCCCUAGCGCCGUGUGAGAAGGAUGGAGCAGCAACGCAAGUAGCGGCAGGCCGACCACGACUCGGCCGACCCUGAAUUCGUAGCAUCUGCAGAUCGCUGUCAAGAUAUGGCGCGCGCCGCUGCACUAUCUACGCAGUUGCUACCAGAGUACAAACACCCCCCCCCUCCCGCACUGCCUUCCCGCUUUCCUCCCUUGUGUGCGAUUCGGCUCACCGUCAAACGCUUUCACUCGCACAUACAGCAUAUGGCGCGCGGGGACGAUGUUAUCGCUCUUUAUCGCCCUUGGUACUUUAUACGGAAUAUCGCGGCAACCACGACAGCAGAAAUGCAGCCUGGAGCGGAAAUAUAUGGCACCCAUACGCUUGCGCGUGACCCACGUUCACGGAAAGAACCGUCACGAUUUUUUAAAAAAUUGCUUACUGAACGAAGGGUCUUAUACAGCAGUGCGACUUAUAUACAUUUUUUUUCCGGAAAAGCUGCCGGUUUGAGGGGGGUGCGUCUUAUACAAAGGUGCGACUUAUAGACCGGUAAAUACGGUAGUCUAUUAAAGUCACAGAAUGAUGGUCAAAAAAAAAAGGGAAAUGCACUUGAGGGCAGCAGAGCAUAAGAUCAACUGAUUAGAUGUGCAUAUUUGGAGGUAUAGGAUCUAGUUGGCUGAUGCAGGGCAGAAGAGGCUGAAUAUCACCAGGCGAAGCCUUUGUUUUGCAGUGAACCGAAAUAGGCUGAUGAUGAAAUACCAUGAUGCAUUGUUCUUUAACAUUUGUUCUGUGCUGUUGUUCCUUGUGGCCCUCUGUUUGUGCUGGUUCAAGGAGUACUUACAUGACAUUUCUGACUUGUAACUUUUUUGCGGUAAGUGAAAGUCCAAACCAUCUAAACCCUACAAAAUAUACUGGGAUGUGUCAGAGCGCGUUAAAUCAAUUGCUAUGUUCCUGCCAACCAGUAUUUGUGUUGGUAUUUGUUUUGGUACCCUGAGGGAGGGUGCUUUGGGAUGUCUUGGUACAUUGAUUUGCUCCAUUCCUACAAUUGCUACAGCUGCCACUUUUUACGACAGUCAGGAGUAGUGCUUGUAGCAUUCACAUUCAUUUUCUUUUAUAACAGCUAUGUCUGCAAAUUUUGCUUCGUGUCAUGAUGUCACAAUAAUGUUGAUGGCCCCAUGUCCAACAUUUUGAAAGCAACCAGAGUGCAAAAAGUAUAAUAUAAAGUGUUUCCGAACUUUCGUAACUGCUAAGUAUCACCAUUCUGCAUGCGAGAUGCAUGUUGUAGAGUUUCUACAACUUUAAAAUAUGGGUCAGUACUCCUUUGACUAUGACACAUAUUUAUAAUCGACAGCUAGUCCAGCUCACCACUUUAAGUUAGAAAAAUUUGUGAAAGCAGAAUGAAGGGUCAUGUUGGCCUGGACAUUUUUUAUUGAUACAGUGAAAAGAGGUCUAGUUGGCUGAACUAGUUGUGGCAAAACACAUUUGGCUGUGUCACUUAGUGUAGUGGACAGCGAGUGUGAGGAUUGAGAAAGACGCGCAGCUAUUACUAUCAACAUUUCUGUGUUGAAUGUUCAGUAGCAAACUGUGCAACAUAGGAAGUAGCCUUGACAGGACUGGGAUAAAGCAUGUAAUGCAGCAGUGUUUACAUUGUCAACUAAGAUAUGGGUUCUCCUAUUUAAAGUGACACUUAAGGCAAAGAUUAAAUCCAUCCAUAUUGUCGGGUUACCCUUCUGGAAUCUGCAAAAUGCAGUUCUACAUGAAGAGACGACGGUUGCAGAGAAAAUCUUGACUGAAGCAGGGUGGACAGUUUUCCACAAUUCAAGUUACCUGCACCAAAAGAGCUUAUCAUGUAGCUGUUCCAGCAAUCUCGGAGGUCAUGCUUUGCCACCACACUCCUGCGUAAAGCAUUGACAGACUGGUGUAAAGAGGUAGUACUUGCGAGUCAGUCCUCUAGGAAAGUUCAGUAAGUGCUGCCAAACUGCAUUCUGUUGCAUGUUAAAGUGCAAUGUAAAUAACUUUUCUGUCUCCAGAGGUUGGCUACUAUUUGCCAGUUAUAAAUGUAAUGUUUUUAUCAGUGAAGCUGGCACUGUACUUUCAUGGCAGCUGUACCUGUUCCAUCCAACGUUCGUCUUUUUCAAACAUACGAAAGUCGUUUUGGUAUGAUGUUUAAACACCUUGCAAUAUAAAUCUGUUCUUUCAGCUUAGCCUAAUGUUUGACUUUCUCUUUGAUGCCCACAUUGACAGAAACUAGUCAAUAUUUCGUGCUGUAAUUAAAGUAGUCACUUUACUAUGAGAGUUUGUGGUUCUGCUUCGUUUGCUGCUUGAAGCCACUGUAAGAGGGAGUUUUUAGGAGGUACCAUAUUUGAACAGUGAUGGCAGUAAGUGAGAACCAUCUUGACACUGUAUUCGAUGAUGCGAUGAACACCUUUACAAAAUGCUGUUGCACUUGUAGCUGAGGUUGACUGCAGUCUCAUUGCGUGUACUGCUUGUUGUAGUCUGGAUUAACUGCCAUUUUGUGGGUUUCACACAACUCUUAGGUUUUCUCUCUGUAGCCGGUUGGUACCUGACCUCUGCAGACUGUCGGUACCUUGGGUAGGCACACUGACUGGAGUUGAAGUUGUGAUGCUGGCACUGGCAGAGCCAAUUGUUUUGGAAAACAUGUGCACUAGUCUAUUUUUACAAAGAGUGGUGUCAGUAAAGUGCUCACGUUUACUUCUGUAGCAAAUAUUUAGUCCACUGGCACUGUAUUAUGAUGAGGGUGAAAUGCAGAAAUGCUUCUGUACUCAGAUUCAGGUGCACAUUAAAGUUCUUAUGCUGGUUAUAAUUCAUAUCAACCCAAGAUAGCGUCCCUCGAAGCUCACUGUCCAGUUUCAUGACGUUGUGCUGCAUCAGUUAUCACUUGUGCUGGACCAGUGUGUGCUGGAGUGUGUGGCUCUUGUUCAGCUGCUCUGAAGGGGGCUGAAUACUUUUGAUGAUUGCAACCCUUACGAAACUUGUGCCAUUCAUCACAAUAUUUACUGAGUGACCAAGUGGUUCUCUGACUUUCGCAGAGUCUCCUGUUAAUGUCCAAAAGUGCAAUUCUUUAUUUACAUUUUCAUUGUGCUGUCAGUAAACGGAUUGCUUGUCAGUAAAGCUUCAGGCAUUGCAGGCAUGUGAUGUGCUGCUGAAACUUGGCCCUUACUAUUACUAUUACAAUUUCUUUCCCUCCUUUAUUUGGCAGCUCUAGUGGUUCAUAGUUAUGUACAAAGCCUCACUUUCUCAAAAAAGCAAGGAAUACAAAAAUGACAUAAUCUUUUAAUGCAGCCAGUUCAAUAUGCAUGUCAGGCGCAGUUCAACUUCGACCGUCACGACAACUGGCAGUGUGAUGGUGGUUAGGUGGCGUUGCGAACUUUUGAUGCAUGUGCCAGUCAGCCCUUUGCAGUAAACAUAGGCCACACCGUGAAAGAAUUGCCAAAAAACGAGCCUGCGGUGGCCUACUUCCUACGCUGCCAAAUUGGCUUGUUCCUCCUGCUUCAUUGGGCACUUCUUUGCGUUCAGAUGAUAAGCCUAGAUAUUAGCUGAGUGCAUAGUUCGACAGAAUAAGCAGAUACUCACUCGCUAGUAUUUUCGCAGGCUAUGUACAUGCUCGCACUCACGUGCAAUCACACUUGCUGGCACUCGCUCACAUUCCUACUCAUGCCCACUCAUACUCACCAACACUAAUUUGCUUUCAUAGUCAUUUCUAUUCACACAUACCAGCGCCCACUCUCACAUACAUAAUCAUGUCCACUCACACUUGCUGACAGUCACGUGCGUUCAUACUCACAUCCAUUCAAAAUCACUGUCACUCGCAUUGAUGGGCACUCACUCCCGUUCAUACUCGCAGCCUUCGUCGCCCACUAACGCUCCAUCGCCCACUAACGCUCCAGCUGCGAAAUAAGUGUGAAUCGAGUGUGAGCCAGUGUACUCGUGCUCGUGAGCGAGUAUGCCGACCUAUGGGAUAAGUUGAGAAGGAUAACCCGCCGUUGGGCUGCUAAGCACGAGGUCACGAGAUUGAAUCCCGGCCGUGGCGGCCACAUUUCAAUGGGGGCGAAAUGCGAAAACGCCCGUGUACUUAUAUUUAGGUGCACGUCCAAGAACCCCAGGUGGUCCCAAUUAUUCCGGUGUCCCCCACUACCGCGUGCCUCAUGAUCAGAUUGUGGUUUUGGCACAUAAAACCUCGUAAUCAAAUUUUUUAACUUGAGAAGGAUAACGGUUACUGGAGGGGCUCAAUUUUUGUUAGUUACAUUCACAUGAAGCCAUUGAAAACACAGGCAAAAUGAACGUUAUUCUUAAAAAUUGAUUUAAAUAUGGAAAUAAUAGGGAAGAAGGAAGUGAAAGUGGGCAAGAAGACAACAUGCAGGUGGUGGGCCCAAGUUGGCAUCAAAAAGGUUCAUUGAGGACUGCACAUACCCAGAAGGCAUGUACCCAGGGAGCCAACUUGGCAUCAGAGGUGUUCAUUGAAGAGCAGAAUAUACUCGGAGACAUAAGUUAGUCUAACAGUUGGUUUCAACCCCUGUUCCUAACGCUGUAACCACUAUAUAUAAACACUCCCUGGGUUAGUUUAGUGGUAAAACAUAAAUACCCCAGAAAGCGGAUGGGAAAACUGCUCCGCGGUAGCUCAAUGGUGAGAGCAUCGCACGCGUAAUGCGAAGACGGUGGCUUCGUUCCCCACCUGCGGACAGUUGUUUUUUCAUCCGUUUUCAUUUCCAUUAAUUUGUCAUUUCUUUAAUUCAAUGAGUAAGUACAAGUAAUUUCCCCUAUGUUGUGCUUGGUGUCAUUGUUUGUUGGCUUCUUAUGAUAGGACUUUUACACACGCACACACCACACACACAGGGACCCAAGUUUGUGGGAAAACGGUUAGAGACAAACAUAGAUAAAUCCCUAAAGGUGCGUGAGGUUCCCAAAGAUUGCUAAUCACAUUAAAAAGGUUCUAGUACACUCUAACUGCAGUGUCACUUGCUUGUUGCAUUGUGUGCAAUGCCACACUGCGCCUGAGGUGUGUUCUGAACUAAUUGCAAUAAAAGUUUAUGUAGUUAUAUGUUGUGGUAGUCAGAAAUGUAUAGUUCAUGCAUUAUUUUCAUGUGGCCACUGUGGAAAGCAAUGGUGGACACUAAUGAAGUGUCAUGCCUGUAUAGCAGAAAUCCUAGCACUAGCCACUAGAACCGUUGCCACUGUGUGCUGUGAAGUAUAGUGAUGUUCUGAUUACUUGUGUCUCAAAGUGUGUGACAGAGGCUUUUAGAGAAAUCAUUUUGGAACGCAUUGGGGUUGAAUGUCUUGAAUCUGUUGGUUGCCUCAAGAUUUCUGCUAAAUGGACAUGACUUCACUGCUACCAAUCCCUAAUUAUUCAAUGGCAGCAUGUGCUAUUGCGUAAAUAUUUGAACAGGUAAUUAUGAGUAGUUUAAUUAAGCACCACAAUAUGCGAAGCCAGUGAUGUCUACCUGUAUAAGUAAUCUGCUUGAAGAUACCUUCUCCGUGUUUAAAA